RNAcentral lists this ribosomal RNA (119 nucleotides) under Trichobilharzia regenti. Lineage: Eukaryota; Metazoa; Platyhelminthes; Trematoda; Strigeidida; Schistosomatidae. The record is from RNAcentral.
UUCGGCGACCAUACUAUGCUGAAAACACAGGUUCUCGUCGGACCACCGAAGUUGAGCAAUGCUGGGGCCAGUUAGUACUUGCAUGAGUGACCGGCUGGGAAUACCGGGUGUUGCCGGCU